AAGUCGUAACAAGGUUUCCGUAGGUGAACCUGCGGAAGGAUCAUUACUGAAGCAGUUAGAGUUGUAGCUGGCUCUGUCAAAGGAGUACCGUGCUCGCUCUAUUCUUCUACUUUUCCCCCUGUGCACCUUUUGUAGGCUAUGAUACCUAUCGUGUGUGAGCUCUGUCUCAUUACCGGUUCAAGGGCUUGCGGUUAUCGUUCGUUCGGUUUCUGCUGCUCUUGCCCUUCAUAUGCCUAUGUCUUUAUACACUCUUUAAACAAGUCUAGAAUGUCUUUUUGUGGGUCUAUCGACCUAUAAACUUAAUACAACUUUCAACAACGGAUCUCUUGGCUCUC
This 335-nucleotide unclassified non-coding RNA is filed under the name air metagenome. RNAcentral's name for it is "partial contains small subunit ribosomal RNA, internal transcribed spacer 1, and 5.8S ribosomal RNA". The stretch from base 1 to 46 matches the Rfam family "Eukaryotic small subunit ribosomal RNA", at positions 1786 to 1831 of the family's 1831-position model. The record is from RNAcentral.